Molecule: non-coding RNA, 74 nt
Organism: Pteropus alecto (black flying fox)
Lineage: Eukaryota; Metazoa; Chordata; Mammalia; Chiroptera; Pteropodidae
Source: Rfam
GGCUCCAUAGUGUAGUGGUUAGCACAUCUGCUUUACACGCAGAAGGUCCUGGGUUCACUCCCCAGGUGGAACCA